GCCAGGUGUGGUGGUGGGAGCCUGUAAUCCCAGCUACCUGGGAGGCUGGGGCAGGAGAAUCACUUGAAUCCAGGAGGCCGAGGUUGCAGUGAGCUGAGAUCACACCACUGCACUCUAGCCUGGGCAAUAGAGUGAGACUCUGUCCCCC
This 148-nucleotide non-coding RNA is filed under the name Pan troglodytes (chimpanzee). The record is from Rfam by way of RNAcentral. Lineage: Eukaryota; Metazoa; Chordata; Mammalia; Primates; Hominidae.